CUUGUAUUUCAUCGCGUUCUGACGUCAUGGUAUCAACGUAGUCUUCUUCUGCUCCACACAUAUUUCAUUUCUAUUCGUUUUCUGUGUCGUACCCCUAUUCUCCAGAUAGGCCACGGCUCUGUUGACAGGCUGUACACGACCAUGUAGAUCCAGGAUCUGGUUCUUUUGUCCGUCUACUCAUGGACAGCUGUUGAUUUCUUUGUACGGCCGUUUUGGACUGUUUCUGC
Molecule: non-coding RNA, 227 nt
Organism: Pelobates cultripes (western spadefoot toad)
Lineage: Eukaryota; Metazoa; Chordata; Amphibia; Anura; Pelobatidae
Source: the annotation of a GenBank genome assembly